ACACAUGCAAGUCGAGCGGUAACAGGGGAAGCUUGCUUCUCGCUGACGAGCGGCGGACGGGUGAGUAAUGUAUGGGGAUCUGCCCGAUAGAGGGGGAUAACUACUGGAAACGGUAGCUAAUACCGCAUAAUCUCUUAGGAGCAAAGCAGGGGAACUUCGGUCCUUGCGCUAUCGGAUGAACCCAUAUGGGAUUAGCUAGUUGGUGAGGUAAUGGCUCACCAAGGCGACGAUCCCUAGCUGGUCUGAGAGGAUGAUCAGCCACACUGGGACUGAGACACGGCCCAGACUCCUACGGGAGGCAGCAGUGGGGAAUAUUGCACAAUGGGCGCAAGCCUGAUGCAGCCAUGCCGCGUGUAUGAAGAAGGCCUUAGGGUUGUAAAGUACUUUCAGUUGGGAGGAAGGCGUUGAUGCUAAUAUCAUCAGCGAUUGACGUUACCAACAGAAGAAGCACCGGCUAACUCCGUGCCAGCAGCCGC
RNAcentral lists this ribosomal RNA (476 nucleotides) under Providencia alcalifaciens. RNAcentral describes it as "bacterial SSU rRNA". It matches the Rfam family "Bacterial small subunit ribosomal RNA", at positions 51 to 518 of the family's 1533-position model. The record is from RNAcentral. Lineage: Bacteria; Pseudomonadati; Pseudomonadota; Gammaproteobacteria; Enterobacterales; Morganellaceae.